CGAAAUAUUCGCCCUUUUAUAAUACUCUAAAACUCGAGUCUUUACCCUACUAUAGGUAUUUGUGUACAGAGUAGAUGGAAAAUCGGAGAACACCAUUGAAUUCGCCAUAAAAAUCAGCAUCUUUUCAUAGUAAAUAUCUCUAGUCAAUUUAAUAAAGAAAACUUUUUAUCGCGUGUUUAAUUCCGAGCUGACAAUAGAAAUGAACUACGGAUGUAGCCAAGGGAUACAGGAGCACUUUAACGGAUAACCAUUUUACUGAUUCAUUAUUAUCAUAAGAUAACCACGGAUGUCCCCAGUUAAUAAUGAUUCAAGAUGGCGUCGGGCAAAUGCGCAUUCCUCAUUUCCUCGAUUUAGCCGCAUGUGUGGAACUUGCACAUGUAAUUGAUAUAUUUUAAUAUUAUUGCUUGCCUCAAGUAGAAAUUAAUGAAACUGUGGUUCACUCCGUGGUGGUGGUGGUCGAAAGUAAGUUUUUAAAAUCAAUUUUCAUCGUAAACAAGUUAGGGUCCUGGUUUCUUCACCUCUUGGUCCUGGAUACACUUUUAUCCAAUCUUAUAUGUUGUAAAUUCUGUUAUGCACAGCUUUUAUUGAGAUUUAAUAGUUUUAGCAUUGUCAUAUCAAACAAACAAAAAACAAAACAAAAACCAAAAAAAAUCCAAUGAAAGUUUGAAAUGUAAAUAGAGCUUAAUAAGAAGAUGUGUACUGUAUACUUUGAGACUAUGUCUUUGAUAUUCUGUAAUGUAUUGAUCAAUUUGAAACUUCAGCAUCCCCCCCCCCCCUUUGGGCAUAUCCCAGGAAUUUGACUUAAGUCUUUUCCAGGGAGUAGGGUCUGUAGGGAAUUUGACGUUCUAAAUCUUCCAUUUAGUGGGGCAUUUGAUAUUAAGGGUGGGGAAUUUGAACCGGAAGUCUUAAAAUUUUGCCCAUUUCUGUGUGCUUUCUGCAUGCACAAAAAAGCUUUGCAUUGGCGGCAAACACAGUUUUCUUGGAUUUCGAGGGAAAUUAUGAAAAACUGGCUCAAAGAAUCAGGCAUGUGAAAGCUAUGUGGUUCAUUUGAAAGUAUGUACUACAAAAUUGUGUGAAACUGUUAAAUUCCC
This is a non-coding RNA of Paramuricea clavata, 1091 nucleotides long. The record is from the annotation of a GenBank genome assembly. Lineage: Eukaryota; Metazoa; Cnidaria; Anthozoa; Malacalcyonacea; Plexauridae.